RNAcentral lists this ribosomal RNA (245 nucleotides) under uncultured bacterium. RNAcentral describes it as "partial 16S ribosomal RNA". It matches the Rfam family "Bacterial small subunit ribosomal RNA", at positions 524 to 768 of the family's 1533-position model. The record is from RNAcentral.
UACGUAGGGGGCAAGCGUUGUCCGGAGUUACUGGGCGUAAAGCGCACGCAGGCGGUCGUGCCAGUUUCUUCUGACAGGUCAGAGCUUAACCCUGGCAGGCGAAGAAAGACGACACGACUUGAGGACUUGAGAGGGACGCGGAAUUCCAGGUGGAGCGGUGAAAUGCGUAGAGAUCUGGAAGAACACCGAAGGCGAAGGCAGCGUCCUGGCGAGUCACUGACGCUCAUGUGCGAAAGCUAGGGGAG